GAAAUGCAGGGCAAGGGUGUCCACUUUUUUUUUUUUGUCAUAAUUUUAAAAAAGUGAAAUUAUUUAUUCUUUAAAAUCUUUUUUUUUUGUAAUUUCUAUUAAUUUAAAUAAAAAUACGAAAGAACCUUUUUGACUAUUUUAAUUAAAUAUAUUAUAAAAUUCUUAGUAGGAAAAAUUACACCGAAAGCUUUAUAGUUUGUCUAAAUUCCACAUAACAUGCUGACCUUUU
RNAcentral lists this long non-coding RNA (229 nucleotides) under Vigna radiata. RNAcentral describes it as "long non-coding RNA (VRAD_LNC007550)". Lineage: Eukaryota; Viridiplantae; Streptophyta; Magnoliopsida; Fabales; Fabaceae. The record is from RNAcentral.